AGACUGAAAGAUCGAAAAAUGCGUUGUACCAUUGAAAAUCAGAUGCUACGUUGAAUCUACGUCGGCAAAAUAAUUUUUAUCUCCAGUGUACUCACCAACUUUUUUUUUCGCUCUAUCUUUCCGGGCAAAAUCUGUGGACACCGAAAUACAGUUCAAGCAACGGCAGCAACUUCGGAGUCAUCUUACGUUUCUUCAAAGAAGGUUCUUCGGUGUUGGGAAUUAUGAAUGCCUUUCGAGAACUCUGUUCGACGAUAGACUUGUUGGCCUGAGCCUUGACGCGCCGCAUGGAACAUCUCGGUCUGGAAGAGUUCGAGUAACAGAAAUGCAACUUGGAGCCAUGAUCGACUUCUGCGAAGCCCAAAAAGGUCUAGUGGAAGGGCGAUUUCAUGUAUUGAAUGGAAGGGAAGAGACAAAAAGAAUGGAUUGAACUAUGCCAGGUGCUUGAUAAUUUACAAGGACUCGAAAAAUGCACAGCACAGGGUCAGGUGAUUUGGAAGGAUUUGAAAGGCUGGACUUUGCAAGAAGCUCAAAAUACAAGAAUCCAACGCAAUGCGACUGGUAACAAAGAAAUCAAGGACCCUGAGCUAACAAAACUAGAACUAUCGUUGGAGCUAAUCAUAUACAAGGAAGUCACAUACAGGAGAAAGAGCUCAGACGUUAUUUUAACACUGACAAAGAAUUCACGAAGUGGAUGUCAACCGGUGAAUUAUCAACAGUUCCAUUGAGAGCCUAUCAAAGGGAAUACAGAAACCUGUAGUGAGUCUUCACUUGCUGCAAGUUUAACGAUAAUAAACUUCUAUAACAGAAGAAAAGACUUGCGGCUCCUGACUAUAUCCAUUAACUAUUGGCAAAUUUAUUGAAACAGGAAUUCCAGAAACAAUUUAAGGUAUACCUACUGAGCAGCGGUACAGAGGAACAGACAUCGAAGAUUACCUUUUACGCAAUCCUCAACCUGUAUUGAACUAGUGACGCCGGGAGAUUCUCCAUCGAAUACUUACGUCGAACAGCAAGAACCGUCUAGAAGAGACCAAAGAGUUAAAAAAAACACAUCACCUGUACAGCGACGGAGGAUAUACAAUCCCAUGAACUCCGCAUUGUGAAACCAGUUGCACCAGUAAAUUCAUUGCCAUCUAGCCGUACUGGAACGUAGCCACUAUGUGAAAACAAUCAAGGAAUUAAGAGGAAGCGAUCGACAUCUAGAGCCACAAACAACAUACGGUCAUAUCUGCGAGGGCCCCAAAGAGGUCUACUUGCAACAGAGGCACCACAAAUUCUGAACCUGGACGACGUACGCAUACGUUUGGAUUUUUAUUCAAUUUCUGGCCGAAACUACAAUUUGAUCUUAUUAUGAUUGAAUAAACACAUACCUUCACUUAGGCGAAUCUAUCUACGGAAUUAACUUAACAACCGAAUUUUACAAUGUAUGGUGAACUUUUAACGUCAAAAAGCGAAGAAAUUAUAAUAUCUUCAUAGUUUGCAGUCGUUGUUUAAUUUUGUGAUCAGACCCUUAAUUCCUAGAUUCAAUAAAAAGAAUCAUCGC
This is an RNA transcript of Athalia rosae (coleseed sawfly), 1540 nucleotides long. RefSeq lists it as uncharacterized. The transcript has 6 exons. The record is from RefSeq and is a predicted model, not a curated record. NCBI's taxonomy places the organism in Eukaryota, Metazoa, Arthropoda, Insecta, Hymenoptera, Athaliidae.